RNAcentral lists this long non-coding RNA (467 nucleotides) under Homo sapiens (human). Its description in RNAcentral is "HSALNT0305430". Lineage: Eukaryota; Metazoa; Chordata; Mammalia; Primates; Hominidae. The record is from RNAcentral.
CUCGUACCUCCGGCUUGCCCCACCUGGCUCACCUCCCAGGAGCCACACAUGCAGACAUUUCAGCAGAGGCCUCAAAGGCAGAACAAAAUAGUGCAAGGAGCCGCACAUCCGCACAGUGCUGAGACCCUGCCCAGGACAAGCUUGAUCCUGGCACCCAAGUGACAACCUGCAUUGAAAAGGCGGAACUUGGCUCUCCUGCCCUGCCAGCUGUAAGAGCUUGAAAGCAAAGCUAUGGGGGGAAUGUCUUUCAUUUCCCCCUGGAAGCUGGGAGGACGUUCAGCUUAGCAUUGCCAACUGUGUAAUGUGGACUUGCCUCUAAAAGAAGCCUUUUUCCUUGGAUGUCUUUCAGGCCGCAGUAUUCCCUUUGGCACCCCCACCCACCUGGAACAAAGCCUGAUGUAAAGUCUGGGUGCGACUCAGACCGGCCUGGGAAAGAAUUUAUUUAAUAAAUGGUGGAAAGUGGCUUC